This is a long non-coding RNA of Pungitius pungitius (ninespine stickleback), 360 nucleotides long. RefSeq lists it as uncharacterized. The record is from RefSeq and is a predicted model, not a curated record. The transcript has 3 exons. NCBI's taxonomy places the organism in Eukaryota, Metazoa, Chordata, Actinopteri, Perciformes, Gasterosteidae.
CUGGUGCUUCGCGGGGGCCAAGGGACACGCCGUCGUCUCCUUGUCGCAUCCCAUCGAGGUCACGCACAUCACGAUCAGCCACAUCACAAAAAGGCAGUCACUCACCGGGGAAAUCAACAGUGCGCCGAGGGAGUUCUCCGUCUACGGAUUGGUGCACGACAACGACGAAGGCAUCCACCUGGGGAGCUUCGCAUACAGCAAAAACGGCCUGAGCUCCCAGACCUUUGAGCUGCCUGUCCCAGUCAAAGAUGUCUUCAGCCACGUCAAGCUGGAGAUAAAGACAAACUGGGGGGAUGAAGACCAAACGUGCCUCUACAACUUCAGGGUGCACGGGUAUCCGGUGUCUGGUUAGGGUGUAGA